CGAAGGCGUAAGUUUCCUGGCGCCUUGUGCGAGAAAGGGCAAGAAGAAAGUGAGUUCCGCCUCUUUCUUGGGCGACUGGGUACUUCCGUUGACAAAAGGUGACGUGAGUUCCUUUCAGCGUUUAGACGCUAGAACUACCACCGAGCCAGACUCGGGUAGACGCAGUAUUAAAGCCAAAGGACACUUAGGAAAACUAGAAGGUCUUCAUGUAUGUAAAGGACUUCCCCUGGUGGCUCAGGUGGUAGAGCAUCUGCCUACAAGUGGGAGACCCGGGUUUGAUUCCUGGGUCGGGAAGAUCCUCUGGCAAAGGAAAUGGCAACCCACUCCAGUACUCCUGCCUGGAAAAUCCCAUGGAUGGAGGAGCGUGGGAUUGGAAUGAAAACUGACCUUUUCCAGUCCCAUGGCCACUGCUGAGUUUUCCCAAUUUGCUGGCAUAUUGAGUGCAGCACUUACACAGCAUCAUCUUUUAGGAUUUGAAAUAGCUCAACUGGAAUUCCAUCACCUCCACUAGCUUUGUUCAUAGUGAUGCUUCCUAAGGCCUACUUGACUUCACAUUCCAGGAUUUCUGGCUCUAGUCACGCAGAUAUGAGAGUUGGACCAUAGAGAAAGCUAACCAAAGAAGUAAUGCCUUCAAACUGUGAUGCUGGAGAAGACUCUUUAACAGUCUUUUGGACAGCAAGGAGAUCAAAGCAGUCAGUGCUAAAGGAAAUCAAUCCUGAAGAAUCAUUGGAAGAACUUAUGUUGAAGCUCCAAUACGUCAGCCACCUGAUUCAAAGAGCUUAUUCAUUGGAGAAGACCCUGAUGUUGAGAAAGAUUGAAGGCAAAGGAGAAGGGGGCGGCAGAGGAUGAGAUGGUUAGAUAGCAUCACCAACUCAGAGUACAUGAAUUUGAGCAAACUCCAAUAGAUAGUGGAGAACAGAGGAGCCUGGCAUGCUGCAG
This is a long non-coding RNA of Bos taurus (domestic cattle), 939 nucleotides long. NCBI's taxonomy places the organism in Eukaryota, Metazoa, Chordata, Mammalia, Artiodactyla, Bovidae. The record is from Ensembl.